CCUACGGGAGGCAGCAGUGGGGAAUUUUGGACAAUGGGCGAAAGCCUGAUCCAGCAAUGCCGCGUGAGUGAAGAAGGCCUUCGGGUUGUAAAGCUCUUUUGUCAGGGAAGAAACGGUGAGAGCUAAUAUCUCUUGCUAAUGACGGUACCUGAAGAAUAAGCACCGGCUAACUACGUGCCAGCAGCCGCGGUAAUACGUAGGGUGCAAGCGUUAAUCGGAAUUACUGGGCGUAAAGCGUGCGCAGGCGGUUUUGUAAGUCUGAUGUGAAAUCCCCGGGCUCAACCUGGGAAUUGCAUUGGAGACUGCAAGGCUAGAAUCUGGCAGAGGGGGGUAGAAUUCCACGUGUAGCAGUGAAAUGCGUAGAUAUGUGGAGGAACACCGAUGGCGAAGGCAGCCCCCUGGGUCAAGAUUGACGCUCAUGCACGAAAGCGUGGGGAGCAAACAGGAUUAGAUACCCUGGUAGUCCACGCCCUAAACGAUGUCUACUAGUUGUCGGGUCUUAAUUGACUUGGUAACGCAGCUAACGCGUGAAGUAGACCGCCUGGGGAGUACGGUCGCAAGAUUAAAACGUCAAAGGAAUUGACCGGNUGAGAGNGCGAGGACGACGACGAGGGAGGAGG
This 620-nucleotide ribosomal RNA is filed under the name uncultured bacterium. Its description in RNAcentral is "bacterial SSU rRNA". It matches the Rfam family "Bacterial small subunit ribosomal RNA", at positions 338 to 951 of the family's 1533-position model. The record is from RNAcentral.